Molecule: long non-coding RNA, 2548 nt
Filed under: Malus domestica (apple)
Lineage: Eukaryota; Viridiplantae; Streptophyta; Magnoliopsida; Rosales; Rosaceae
Description: long non-coding RNA (MDOM_LNC005271)
Source: RNAcentral
AAAAAGACAAAAAAAACUAAGUUUUUCUUACAUUGGUGUGGCCAAAGAAGACAAAGAAAUCAACGGAAGAUGAUUCUUUACACAGGCAAGCAAAGAAGAGUGCUAGGGGAGGAGGAACAAAUAUCCACUAGUGUUCUCUCUUUCUUGUAAGGAUAAAUAAUUGUCUUCUGAAGUUGAUUUAAUCCCCUACUUAAGGUAUGCCUAAAUAAGCCUUAGAGGCGAUUGAUUUCACUUUCCUAGAAAAUUCUAAUUCCAAGUCCAAGUGGGAAUCUGCAUCAAAGUUAGAGAUCUCUACACCUGCUGCAUUUUCCUACGAGCAGCCCAACAAGUAUGGGGGCAUUUGGGAAGGCAAAAAUAAUCAAGAAAAUUAUGGAGGCAACACGUGUACUUUUGGGUUAAAAGGACAAAAUUACCCUCGAGGCACACCGGAAUUCCCAUGCACAUGCAAUAGACAAUAACGGCUCAAUCAAGGAAAAGUCAAAGUUGAUCAAAAUGGUAUUUAUUCAAAACUCUCUCAUCACUCCUCAUCAAAUCCUCACUCAAAAGGUAACUCCCAAUUUUCCUAUUCAAUUUGGGAUUAAUUGCCAAGUUAAUUGUAAGAUAUUGUUUCACAUAAUAUCUUGCAAUUACACUCACAAUUUGACCAUAUGUAGCCGGCCCCUAUUAUCCAAAUAAGGCCGAUCACUCCCAUAUAAAUAGCCAUGUUUUCCCACUAAAAUGUAAGGUCAUUCUCUCUCCAAAAAUUCCUAAACAAUUUCACUCUCAAAUUCUAACUUUGGCAUCGAAGAUUUUUUGGCUAAAACCCUCCCAUUCAUUGUGGACAUGUGAGGCUUUUGGCCUUAUUCUUAGAUAUUAUUUUGCAAGUGCAUUUUCAUUAAAGAAAAAGACAGUGAAAAUUUGCAUCUACAAUUAGUAUAUCAAUAAUCAUUAGCCACUUCACACACUGUCUGCUACUAUUGACUUUUCGCACGCAAGCACUGUACCGUCCUUUGUCACCUUUUGCAUAUGUAUCUUAGAUUUGGCCAUUAAUUCUCAUUUGAUUUGUUUAAAGGAAAAUUAAUGAAAAUGUUUGAAAACGUUGAGUUUUAACGAUAAAGACAAAAUAAAGGGAAAAGUGAAUAGUACCAAGAUUGACUUUUUAGUGUAAAAAUAUGGGGUUUCGUUAAAAUGAACAGUACCACGGGUUUUUCGUUAAAACUCCCUUUGUUUAAUCUAACAAUUGGGAAACAGGAGAGAUGCGCGGGAGGUGAAAACGGUGUGCAAAAAAAAUAUUCUUUAUUAUCUAAUAACCUUUCUCUUUCGUACUCAGCUUAACUAAGUGGUAGUUGUUGGUAUAUUUUGAAAGAUAUCAUACAGAAUUCCCGUUCCUUGUAUAUAAAAUGAUUAAGAACUGAUAAUCACAAUAAUGUACUUCUUCGUACCACCUGUAACGAUUAGUGAGGGAUAAUUUUUAAAUUGCUUCUUCACUUGUACCAUUUUGUUGACAAAACUUGUUCCGCAUCAAUAUAAUACAAUAAUUCAAGGGGACAAAAUUUGGAUGAUGCAUUCCCUGUGAUCUCCGUUGCAAGGCGUCUGAAAGACAAGCAUUGGCUCCAUAAAUUAGUAUAAUUACUAAAUUAGACAAUCGAAGCACAAAAAAUAUGGGUUAAUUACAGUGCUACCUGAGCAUAUUGACUUUUCAAGAGACAUAUUAGUUAUUUAAACUGAUGAAGAAAGUGAUACAAGUUUGCUGAAGUACUAGGCAUUACUAAUGCAGCUUAUCGGAUGGAUAAAUCAUUGACUAAUUCUCAUUGGAAAUUAUUUUUUAUAUUUUUUUUUGUCGACUCAUUGGAAAAUAGUUAAAUUAACUAAUUAUUCCAAAUGGUACGAAGAAGUACAAAAGAGGGCAUGAUGCAUGCCUCCGAUUACUUAACAACCACGAGAGAUUUUUCAGUGUGACCGUCACACUAUGUAGUACAUCACCUGCCUAUAUAAAUAAUGGGUUAUGUGUGUUAAAAUGUUAAUAACUUAAAAAUUAAAAUUUUCCACCACUUGCAUAAAAACACGUGGUGUACCAUCUGUAUUCCUGUCACAGCUAAAAAUUUCUCAACAACCACCCCUCAUAUUUAAAUGCUGGUGACAUACACCAUCAAUAGAUAUUUUGAUAGGAAUCUAUCAACAAGGAUCCUCUUCGGAUCUUCUUUGUGGGGAUCCGAAAAUCAAUUAAUCUUAUAUGUUUAUCAUAUAUCGUACGGUCAGUUUUCGUUAAGUAUAAUUUAUAUUCAAUUUUAAAUUAAGAAUUUAAAAUGAUUUCUAACUGCACGAUGUAUGAUAAACGGAUACAAUUAAUUGAUCAUCUGGAUCCCCAUAAAGAGGAUCCUAUUCUAGAAUCUAUAUACACAACGCUAAGAAGACUCUUUCAAUACCACUUAGUACUAUGGUCUAGUAGUGUUCCUCUUCACUUGUAAGUAAGAGGUUUUAGGUUUGAUUCUCGCCAAAGACGAAUUUGAACCACAUUAUUGAUUCUCGCCAACUCCCCCACUCUUUAGUGUAGAUAAUAUCGUUUGUU